This 954-nucleotide ribosomal RNA is filed under the name uncultured Tulasnella mycobiont of Riccardia palmata. RNAcentral's name for it is "eukaryotic LSU rRNA". The stretch from base 317 to 954 matches the Rfam family "Eukaryotic large subunit ribosomal RNA", at positions 1 to 659 of the family's 3401-position model. Lineage: Eukaryota; Fungi; Basidiomycota; Agaricomycetes; Cantharellales; Tulasnellaceae. The record is from RNAcentral.
GAUGAAGACCGUAGCGAGUUGCGAUAAGCGAUGUGAUAUGCGAGUCCCAAACUGAUACGUGAACCAUCGGAUCGUCGAACGCACUGCACCGAGGAUUGCCCAUCCACGGUAUACCACAUUGAGUGUCAUUAUUCGUUCGUCUCUGACGAGUUCGGGGUCCACGGCCUUGCCGCGUUCCCUCAGAUSGAAGUCUGUGGCGUCAACCUGACCUUGCUGGUGUCGGUCGAGCCCCCUUUGACUGAGUUCACUGGGUACGCUACGUCUGCAUCACAGGUCGGUCUGACCAGGACGCUUGCGUCCAAUCAUUCUCUAAUGAUGACCUCACGGUGGUAAGAUUACCCGCUAAACUUAAGCAUAUUAAUCAGCGGAGGAAAAGAAACUAACAAGGAUUCCCUUAGUAACUGCGAGUGAACAGGGAUGAGCUCAAUGUGUGAAUCUUACCGUCCUCGUGGGUGGUUGAGAGUUGUGCACUAUGAACGUUGUGUCUGCGCUUGCAGGCCGGUGGCCAAAGUCCGGAAGGAUACGGCACUAGAGAGGGUUAUAGUCCUGUUCUCGCCAUCCGGUCCUGUGCGUCUAUGACCAGCGCUUCUCGAGUCGGAUAGUUUUGUAUUGCUGUCCCAAUGGGAGGUUGAUCCCUUCCAAAGCUAAAUAUUUAUGGCAUGACCGAUAGUAGACAAGUACCGCGAGGGAAAGGUGAAAAAGCAACCAUGAAGAAUGGGUUGAAACAGCAGUGAAAGUGCUACUGGGAUAAGGGCUCAUGGCGGCUGGUGCCGUAGGGGCGUGCUUUAGUGCUGCACCUGUGGACGGCCUGCGGGGAUGGAGACUUGGAGAUGUGGGCCGUGGGGAUGCACCUCCUUCUGGAGGCUUGAACCCGUGGUUCUGCGCGCCAUGCAGCCAUCUUUAUACCUACCUGGUAGUAGCAGGUCUUGUCGCCAUUAGCCGCCCGUCUUGAAA